Non-coding RNA from Plutella xylostella (diamondback moth), 1363 nucleotides. The record is from RefSeq and is a predicted model, not a curated record. NCBI's taxonomy places the organism in Eukaryota, Metazoa, Arthropoda, Insecta, Lepidoptera, Plutellidae.
ACCAUUAUUUUUGUAACUUAACAUUUCGUUUAUUGUUUACAUUCUGUUUGUUUACUUUGUUAGUCUUGUCAAGUAUCAGCUGUCAAAUUCGACACACAGGAUAGAUUUUCAGUUGUUGUCUGUGGUCCUUUGAGAAAACUCGUGCCAGAUCGUCAUCGGACAGUGGUCAGUGGCGACAUGACGCUCAGAACAAUGAUCGUGCUGACUAGCCACAGAGUAGUUUUGUGACGAUGAGCUGACAUCCCCGGUGACGGCUUUUUUCGGAACUGGCAAGGAGGCAAACCAUUCUCUGUCAGAACGUCUCGAGUAAAUGUGUGGUUAGAUUUUUCUUCCCGCCCGCGUGGCGCAGGCCGUAUUGGUACCAAGUUCCUUGCUUCAUAUUUCCUGUUACCAGAUACGUGCCACAGACACCCACGCAGCAUCACACCAUGUGUACCUAACCUGAAUUGCCGACAAUUUCAAUCCUGCCCGGUGAAGCGUGCGAUUGCCCGACGCGUGUCACCUGACCCAACCCCAAGGUAAGCGCCAUGACCUUCCACGUGUCGAUUAGGUUAUUUUGCAAGUGUCACGUUUAAACAGCAAAGCUACCGCCUUUGAGACAAGCUCUAACCUUCCCAUAAUUGUUUGAUUAGUGAUUGACCGUAGGUUUUAGGUUAGAAAUACCCAGGGGCCAUUCAAGACACGUCACUUGAGACAUGUUAGCUAGGCCUUCGCUGUCCUUACCGACCCAUCCUUGACCCAAGGCUGUUUCUCGCGAUUCCAGAAGGUGUAGUUGGUGACCAGAGCCGUCAGCGAGCCACGAGCCGUCCGGAGCUCCUGUCCUGGCCCCGUCCAGCUGUCCAGGUUGGCCGUUGUAUGUUCGUUGAGCGGAUACUGAGGAAUUUCCUUAGGAUUUCCAUUAAUCUUCAGCGGCAUCAGCCUUCUAACGCCGCUGCUGAAUGUAGGAUUGCAAAGGCAGAACCCGGGUGGACUCUAGCGGGUUAAAACCUUUAUUUUAUUUUUUUUACUUCGUAGGGAGCCCCGUUAGAACGGGCAGUAGUAUCUAAAUUGCACUUUGAACCUUUUGUAGGCGCUAGGCUAUCAACGUCCUUCGGUUACGGGGCCUUAACGUUAAACUGCUAUCCCAUUGAAGUAAUAUAGAAGUUUCUCUGGGGUUAAUACCAUCUUUCUAUCCCUGUGGCGUGAAACACAGGGGUAGAACCUUUGGUUUCCCCACUUUAAUGUAAUUUCCUUGAAAUACCUUGUAUACUUCAACCAGACAAUUAUAAGGACUUAAUCCCUGGUCUCAUUUUAGACCUAUUUGAGUUAUAAAAUAUUGUGUGAGGCAGGGUUUUGAUAAAUAAAUAUUAAUAACUGUACCACA